UCCAGCAUGGUGUAGCGGUAACAUCGGUGCCUUUCACGCACUAGCCCGGGGUUCGACUCCCCGUACUGGAA
Molecule: non-coding RNA, 71 nt
Organism: Mycena albidolilacea
Lineage: Eukaryota; Fungi; Basidiomycota; Agaricomycetes; Agaricales; Mycenaceae
Source: the annotation of a GenBank genome assembly